CGUGAGUGAUGAAGGCCUUAGGGUUGUAAAGCUCUUUUACCAGGGAUGAUAAUGACAGUACCUGGAGAAUAAGCUCCGGCUAACUCCGUGCCAGCAGCCGCGGUAAUACGGAGGGAGCUAGCGUUGUUCGGAAUUACUGGGCUUAAAGAGUUCGUAGGUGGUUGAAAAAGUUGGUGGUGAAAUCCCAGAGCUUAACUCUGGAACUGCCAUCAAAACUUUUCAGCUAGAGUAUGAUAGAGGAAAGCAGAAUUUCUAGUGUAGAGGUGAAAUUCGUAGAUAUUAGAAAGAAUACCAAUUGCGAAGGCAGCUUUCUGGAUCAUUACUGACACUGAGGAACGAAAGCAUGGGUAGCGAAGAGGAUUAGAUACCCUCGUAGUCCAUGCCGUAAACGAUGUGUGUUAGACGUUGGAAAUUUAUUUUCAGUGUCGCAGCGAAAGCGAUAAACACACCGCCUGGGGAGUACGACCGCAAGGUUAAAACUCAAAUGAAUUGACGGGGACCCGCACAAGUAGUGGAGCAUGUGGUUUAAUUCGAAGAUACGCGCAGAACCUUACCAACACUUGACAUGUUCGUCGCGACUUUAAGAGAUUAAAGUUUUCGGUUCGGCCGGACGAAACACAGGUGCUGCAUGGCUGUCGUCAGCUCGUGUCGUGAGAUGUUGGGUUAAGUCCCGCAACGAGCGCAACCCUCACUUUUAGUUGCCAUCAUUUAGUUGGGCACUCUGAAAGAACUGCCAGUGAUAAGCUGGAGGAAGGUGGGGAUGACGUCAAGUCCUCAUGGCCCUUACGUGUUGGGCUACACACGUGCUACAAUGGUAUCUACAACAGGAAGCAAAACUGCGAGGUUAAGCAAAUCCUUAAAAGAUACCUCAGUUCGGAUUGCACUCUGCAACUCGAGUGCAUGAAGCUGGAAUUACUAGUAAUCGUGGAUCAGCGUGCCACGGUGAAUGCGUUCCCGGGUCUUGUACACACCGCCCGUCACACCAUGGGAGUUGGUUCUACCUUAAGGCAAGGUUUAAAACCCUUGACCACGGUAUAGUCAGCGACUGGGGUGAAGUCGUAACAAGGUAACC
Molecule: ribosomal RNA, 1072 nt
Filed under: uncultured bacterium
Lineage: Bacteria
Description: bacterial SSU rRNA
Rfam family: Bacterial small subunit ribosomal RNA
Source: RNAcentral